GAACGAUGGAGAAUCCCUUGAAGCCUUGGGAUACUUAGGUUUGUCACUUAAAUCCUCACCUGCUAAUAAGGUGGGGCACUUAAAAAAAAAAAAAAAAAAAAUCACAUCUUAGGACGCAGCGCCUUGUGGGAAUUGUAGUUCUCGACGUCACGGGCCGACAGCGCAGCAUUGUGGGACCAGAUCCCCGCGGUGACUGCGCUCGGGCGAGCAGGCCGCGGCCCCGCUAUUCGCCGGUCCAGAGGAGAGUGCCACUGUCGCUGCGGCGUGGAACCUGUGAGGCACAGUGGCGGCCCCGGGUUCGGCGCGCAGUGACCCGAUUCCGCGCGACCGGAACAUCGCCGGACAGGUGCCAUCACAGGCUUGUGGUCACGGAUGCUGUAGACCAGUGUGCAGAAGGGGACCAUCUGAGCUUGAAAGGGAUGGACCACUGUCAGGCUGAAAGCUGAACCUUCACAGUUCCAUACACUCUCCUGGCAGCUGCAGAAAUGAGCGUAUCUCAGGUAAGAUCAGUUUUUAAUAAGCAGUUUAUUUUACAGUAGAUUAUAAAGGAUGCUAGAUCUGUACAUCCACAUGGAAAAACAGAAGCAAAUGAAUCAGAUACCUUCAUAGAAGGUAUAGAAAUAUACAGGAAAAGUGGAGUGAAAGUAACAUGUGGAUAGAUGCUAUUACAAAUUUACUACAUUGAGCUCCAAAUUUCUUUCUGAGGUAUUUGAUAGCUAUUGAAGGGUGUUGGAAAGACAACAUUUAAAGAUUUACAUUGAUGAGAAAGCUAAAUCAAAUGACUUGCUUUCUCAUGGAAUGUAAAAGUGAAGAUAGAUAUAUUUGCUGUUCUUUAAGAGUAUGACGUGCUAAACUAAUAUAAAA
Molecule: long non-coding RNA, 864 nt
Filed under: Chinchilla lanigera (long-tailed chinchilla)
Lineage: Eukaryota; Metazoa; Chordata; Mammalia; Rodentia; Chinchillidae
Description: lncRNA (ENSCLAG00000027556.1)
Source: RNAcentral